This 1221-nucleotide ribosomal RNA is filed under the name Triticum aestivum (bread wheat). RNAcentral's name for it is "partial small subunit ribosomal RNA". The record is from RNAcentral. Lineage: Eukaryota; Viridiplantae; Streptophyta; Magnoliopsida; Poales; Poaceae.
AUGGAGUACAGAACCUGUCGCCGUACUCGGAAGUUCGUCGUUCUUGCCGCAAACCAAAAUCAGGAGCAGGACUUCCCUACUCACACGAAGGAGCUCACCUUUCGAAGAGAAUGGCCACCAUUGCGGCAAGUGCGGGAGGUCGAGGUACUUGACGGCGAGAUGAUGUGGGGCAAGGCCGGUUCGGAGGCCGCCAUCAUAGAUGAAGCCCCAGCAUGCGGGCUCGUCGUGACCGGAGUCUGCGGCAGGUCUUCCAAGGACAGCGACUGCAGGUUCCUCACCGCGUGCCACCGUCGCGCCAGUCCCAGCCUCAACCACACCUUCUGCUCUAUCCAGAACUACUCCAUAUGUCAAAUUUGUCAAAUUUGCCGCCGCCUGCCUCCUCCCGUACUCGCGCCCUCUCUCCUCUUCACAGUCGCGGCUCCCCACCCUCUUCCUCCCUUCCCCGCGCCGCCAUCUCCACCUCCUCCCCUGCGGCCGCCACCUCUGGCUCCUCCCCUCUCGCCGCUCGUCUUCCUCCUCCCGUAUCCCAUCCCCGUCGCGCCCCCCUCCUCCCCACGAAAUCGCAAGCGGCCCUGCCUUGUGCUAGCCACUCGUGGUCAUGAAGGGCGGCGGAGCCAGGAGCGGUGGAUUGAUGCGGAUGCGACUGCGGCUCACCCUGUAGAGAGGAUCGAGGACGGCAUUGGGUGGUUGCUCUGGAUCCCAUCAUCAGAAGGGAAGGGAAAAGAAGAGGGUGAGCGAGCAAGUCAGGCGGCGGCCAUGGUGCUCGCAGAUCCGCCGGCGCCGUCGUCCGACCUCGGCCUCCGAGUGCUUCUGCUCUGCGGGCGUGACGGUACGGGCUGCCUGCUCCGCGCCCAUGCCAUGGCUUGCUUGGGACACCGUCCUCCCACCUGCUCCAACCCUAAUCCUAGCGUUUCUGCUGCUGGUCAAGGUACGACCAUUUCAAUUUGCUCUUGGCCCCUCCCCUCCGCUCAUGAUGUUGCUGCUUUUGGUCACGCAGGUGCUGCACACUUGCUUGAAAAGUUGAUAACGGAUCUCCACGCUGAUGGAGUACAUAUUUGUUGCUUUGCUUGGUUUGUUGGCCAUAUUCUAACCUAUGUCCGUGUAUGCAUAGAGGUGCUAGGCAAGACACUUUGUGCAUUGGGGAAAAAUGAGGAAGCUUUGGUUCCUUGGGAGCAAGGACAUGAGAUUGCUGUCCGUGACACAAUUGACCUGAAACAAUAG